AUAUUAUGGCACUUGUAGCUCUGAAAAUCGUCUGUGAGAAUGUGAAGGAACGGUCAGCAUGCUCAAUUUUAUUUGUGCAAGAGACUGACGACAUGCCAGCAACGCCAUGUGUAUCUUAUAAUGGGGCCGUCCUUGAAGAUGCAGAGUUUUUCUGGCUGAUGCUAGACCAGACAAAGUGUUUUCAAGUGACUAAUGCAGAGGAAGGACUUGUCCCAAUUAUGUGUGUAAACUGGUUGUUCAAUGUUCAAUAUGCUUGUAAAGCGUUCAACACCCUUGUCGUCCUCGAAAGAUUUUUUUUUGAGCUCGAAAAGACAACACCAAGAUCUGUUGUUGCAAAGUUCUUAAACAUUGUCGUAAAAUCCACAUAGUCAUAUGAUAAUGCCAUAUGGUAAUGUUCUUGCACAUUUGCCUUACUGCAUAUUUUUUAUGUUUGAUUGUAUUAGUGAUUGAAAAUAUAUUGAUUUUGCAUUUGCUUCACAAGUCGUGCAUGUUUCUCCUUUUGCAUAGCCGGGCACACAUGCUGUCAAAUAACCCAUGGUCAUUGAACUUUUUAGUUAUUACCAUAUUACAUUCCUGCAAGACGGAACUAUUGUGCAAUAGUUUUUGCUGCUUGUUUGCUAAUCUAAAUAACAUUACACUGCCUUGGUUAUGGUCAGAUUAGAUUAUGUGGGCCAUUAUGAUAUAAUGCACAUUGCAAGAAGCAUGUGUAAAAUUUUGCAAUAAAUGUAAAUAAUUUAGAGAAAAA
Molecule: long non-coding RNA, 745 nt
Filed under: Rhipicephalus microplus (southern cattle tick)
Lineage: Eukaryota; Metazoa; Arthropoda; Arachnida; Ixodida; Ixodidae
Description: uncharacterized LOC119161217
Source: RNAcentral